UAUAUAUAUAUAUAUAUAUAUAUCACAUCUUCUUUAUCCAUUCAUCUAUCAUUGGACACUUAGGUUGCUUACAUAAAUUGGUGAUUGUAAAUAAUGCCGCAGUGAGCAAGGGGCUAC
This is a long non-coding RNA of Mustela erminea (ermine), 117 nucleotides long. RefSeq lists it as uncharacterized. NCBI's taxonomy places the organism in Eukaryota, Metazoa, Chordata, Mammalia, Carnivora, Mustelidae. The record is from RefSeq and is a predicted model, not a curated record. The transcript is spliced from 3 exons.